AAAAGCUAACAAGGGCACACGGAGGAUGCCUAGGCAACAGCAGCCGAUGAAGGACGUGAUAAGCUGCGAUAAGCCGGGAGGAGAUGCACAUGAUCAGUGAUUCCCGGAUUUCCGAAUGGGUAAACCUGCAUGUCUGGAGGACAUGCGUGAAAACGGUAAGCCCGCGAACUGAAACAUCUAAGUAGCGGGAGGAAAAGAAAGUAAAAACGAUUCCCUGAGUAGCGGCGAGCGAACGGGGAGGAGCCUAAACCGUGCCAGUGCCAAGCGGACAGCGUUGCUGGCACGGGGUUGUGGGACUUCCAUUAGCGGAUUGUCAUAAUGCUUAAGCCGCAUAUGUGUAAGUGGAACCAGCUGGGAAGCUGGACCGAAGAAGGUGAUAGUCCUGUAGAACAUAAAGCAUAUGCUGCGACUGGAAGCACCCGAGUAGCGUCAGGCACGAGGAAUCUGGCGUGAAUCAGCGUGGACCAUAUCACGCAAGGCUAAAUACUGCUGUUGACCGAUAGUGAAGAGUACCGUGAGGGAAAGGUGAAAAGAACCCUGAGCAAGGGAGUGAAACAGAAUUUGAAACCGUGUGCUUACAAACGGUAGGAGCACUUUAUGUGUGACUGCGUGGAUUUUGGUUAAUCAUCCUGCGAGUUAUGAUGUGUGGCGAGGUUAAGUAGAAGCGGAGCCGAAGGGAAACCGAGUCUUAAGAGGGCGCAAGUCGCAUGUCAUAGACGCGAAACCUAGUGAUCUAGGCCUGUCCAGGCUGAAGCUGAGGUAAGACUCAGUGGAGGGCCGAACUCACCGCCGUUGAAAAGUUGGGAGAUGAGAUAGGUCUAGGGGUGAAAAGCCAAUCGAACUAGGAGAUAGCUCGUUCUCUCCGAAAUGCAUUUAGGUGCAGCCUCGGUUGAAGAUAUGCGGGGGUAGAGCACUGUAUGGCCUAGGGGGCGUAUAGCUUACCGAAGUCAAGCAAACUGCGAAUACCGUAUAUUGUUUACCGGGAGUGAGUCUACGGAUGACAAGGUCCGUGGACGAGAGGGGAACAGCCCAGACCGCCGGCUAAGGUCCCAAAUCAUGUCUAAGUGGGAAAGGAGGUGGAUAUUCACAGACAACCAGGAGGUUGGCUUAGAAGCAGCCAUACCUUGAAAGAGUGCGUAAUAGCUCACUGGUCGAGAGUAUCUGCGCCGAAGAUAUAACGGGGCUAAGACAUGAACCGAAGCUGCGGAAGCGUGGUAACACGUUUGGUAGGAGAGCGUUCUGUAGGCCGUAGAAGGUGUCCUGGAAGGGAUGCUGGAGGUAUCAGAAGUGAGAAUGCAGGAAUGAGUAGCGAGAAGGAGGGUGAGAAUCCCUCCGGCCGGAAGUCCAAGGUUUCCAGGGGAAGGUUUGUCCGCCCUGGGGGAGUCGGGACCUAAGCAUAAGCAGAGCUGCGAAGGCGAAUGGAAAACAGGUUAAUAUUCCUGUACCGCUGUGGACUGAUUGAAAGAUGGAGUGACGCAGGAAGGUAUGCGGGAAGGCUGACGGAAUAGCCUUUCUAAGGGUGAAGCGUGGACAUAUAGGCAAAUCCGUAUGUUUAAACGUGAGGCCUGAUGGGGAAGUACCAUAAGGUAUAAGCCGCAGAUCCUACACUGCCGGGAAAAACUUCUAUUUAGGGAAACAGCGCCCGUACUGUAAACCGACACAGGUGGACAGAGUGAGAAACUUAAGGCCGACAGGAUAACUCUAGCUAAGGAACUCUGCAAAAUGGCCCCGUAACUUCGGGAGAAGGGGUGCCUGACAUACCUGAAGGGAGAGACGCCCUGAGGGGAAACAGGCCGCAGUGAAGAGUCCCAAGCAACUGUUUACCAAAAACACAGGUCUAUGCUAAGCUGAAAGGCGACGUAUAUGGGCUGACACCUGCCCAGUGCCGGAAGGUUAAGAGGAGGAUUGAGAGAUUCGAAUUGAAGCCCCGGUGAACGGCGGCCGUAACUAUAACGGUCCUAAGGUAGCGAAAUUCCUUGUCGGGU
This 1985-nucleotide ribosomal RNA is filed under the name human oral metagenome. RNAcentral describes it as "bacterial LSU rRNA". It matches the Rfam family "Bacterial large subunit ribosomal RNA", at positions 1 to 1977 of the family's 2925-position model. The record is from RNAcentral.